UACACUCCUACGGGAGGCAGCAGUGGGGAAUAUUGCACAAUGGGCGCAAGCCUGAUGCAGCGACGCCGCGUGGGGGAUGAAGGCCUUCGGGUUGUAAACUCCUUUCGCUAGGGACGAAGCUUUUUUGUGACGGUACCUAGAUAAGAAGCACCGGCUAACUACGUGCCAGCAGCCGCGGUAAUACGUAGGGUGCGAGCGUUGUCCGGAAUUACUGGGCGUAAAGGGCUCGUAGGUGGUUUGUCGCGUCGUCUGUGAAAUUCUGGGGCUUAACUCCGGGCGUGCAGGCGAUACGGGCAUAACUUGAGUGCUGUAGGGGUAACUGGAAUUCCUGGUGUAGCGGUGAAAUGCGCAGAUAUCAGGAGGAACACCGAUGGCGAAGGCAGGUUACUGGGCAGUUACUGACGCUGAGGAGCGAAAGCAUGGGUAGCGAACAGGAUUAGAAACCCUUGUAGUCCCAUGAU
RNAcentral lists this ribosomal RNA (461 nucleotides) under uncultured organism. Its description in RNAcentral is "partial 16S ribosomal RNA". It matches the Rfam family "Bacterial small subunit ribosomal RNA", at positions 332 to 801 of the family's 1533-position model. The record is from RNAcentral.